RNAcentral lists this transfer RNA (80 nucleotides) under Haplomitrium blumei. RNAcentral describes it as "tRNA-Asp". It matches the Rfam family "tRNA". Rfam says of the family: Transfer RNA (tRNA) molecules are approximately 80 nucleotides in length. Their secondary structure includes four short double-helical elements and three loops (D, anti-codon, and T loops). Lineage: Eukaryota; Viridiplantae; Streptophyta; Haplomitriopsida; Calobryales; Haplomitriaceae. The record is from RNAcentral.
GUUGAUGGGAUUGUAGUUCAAGUGGUUAGAGUACCGCCCUGUCAAGACGGAAGUUGCGGGUUCGAACCCCGUCAAUCCCG